AAGUCGUAACAAGGUUUCCGUAGGUGAACCUGCGGAAGGAUCAUUACCGAAUGGACACUUAGUUGUUUACUCGGCUAAGGUAGCCCAAUGACUCGAUCAUUUCUAGUGGGUUGUGUGCGGCGGCAACGCUGCACACAGCUCCAUAUGUGUUUGAGAUUACUUGGUAGUACCGCGAUAGGUGCUACCAGGCGUUUUUCAAACGUUCUUUCAUGCUAUAACAAAAGUGUGUGUGCGAGCUCUCACCGAGCGAGCGCAUUCACUCUAAAACAAACUAAACUAAAGCACGACUGCAAACGGUGGAUCACUCGGUUC
Molecule: unclassified non-coding RNA, 312 nt
Filed under: fungal sp.
Lineage: Eukaryota; Fungi
Description: partial internal transcribed spacer region
Rfam family: Eukaryotic small subunit ribosomal RNA (bases 1-46)
Source: RNAcentral